This 672-nucleotide long non-coding RNA is filed under the name Nicotiana benthamiana. Its description in RNAcentral is "long non-coding RNA (NBEN_LNC032874)". The record is from RNAcentral. Lineage: Eukaryota; Viridiplantae; Streptophyta; Magnoliopsida; Solanales; Solanaceae.
UAAAAAUUAUAUAAGUGGGGUUUGAGGAGGCUAAAGUCUACGCAGACUUUAUCCCUGUCCCAAAAGUAAAGAGGCCGUUUCCGAAAGGCCUCCGAUUAGACAAUAGAUCCGUAACAGCAACAAAAACCAGAAAACAUUGAUGAAAACUAUGAAAUAUAAUUUGUGCCUGAGAUGAUUCCUAAGGAAUUACAGGUCAAAGUCACAUCCAACAUAACUAAACAAAAGCAAUGAGGUUACAAAUUGAAUCACUUAUUUCUCUUGCUAUGAACAAAGCAAAUUUUCAGGAUAACACAAAUUGACCCUGUGGAUAGAUCAAUGUUCUACUGAUGAAUUAGAUGUGUACGUAAAGAAAUUUAGACUCUCUAACACCAGAAGUUCUCUAAAUUUCUACUUUCAUACAAAAUCUCUAACAAGAUUGAAAACACUACCAGUAAACAUUGGACCUGAAUCUUGUACAGAUAUUUUAUAUAGGCAUGCAUAAAGAAAUUGAGGCUAGUACAUUUACGAUACUAUCCCUAACUAGCCUUUACAACAUGUAAGUUCUCCUCUAUCACUGUUAGUUUUCAAUUGCGAGAAUACACACACAUAGAUAUAAAGCAUAUAUGUGAGUAACAGAGAAUUGGCAUACCGAAUUAAUUAGAGAACUUGGAAUCAUUCAGAAAUGGCGACGAA